GCCCUACGGGACGCAGCAGUGGGGAAUAUUGGGCAAUGGACGCAAGUCUGACCCAGCAACGCCGCGUGAAGGAAGAAGGCUUUCGGGUUGUAAACUUCUUUUAAGGGGGAAGAGCAGAAGACGGUACCCCUUGAAUAAGCCACGGCUAACUACGUGCCAGCAGCCGCGGUAAUACGUAGGUGGCAAGCGUUGUCCGGAUUUACUGGGUGUAAAGGGCGUGCAGCCGGAGAGGCAAGUCAGAUGUGAAAGCCCGGGGCCCAACCCCGGUACUGCAUUUGAAACUGUCCGGCUGGAGUGCAGGAGAG
Molecule: ribosomal RNA, 305 nt
Filed under: uncultured bacterium
Lineage: Bacteria
Description: bacterial SSU rRNA
Rfam family: Bacterial small subunit ribosomal RNA
Source: RNAcentral